RNAcentral lists this transfer RNA (72 nucleotides) under Mus musculus (house mouse). Its description in RNAcentral is "tRNA-Asp". Lineage: Eukaryota; Metazoa; Chordata; Mammalia; Rodentia; Muridae. The record is from RNAcentral.
AGGGAUGUAGUUCAGCGGUAGACCAUUUGGCUAUCAUGCACAAGGCCCUGGGUUCGAUCCUCAGUGCUGCAA